RNAcentral lists this ribosomal RNA (253 nucleotides) under uncultured bacterium. RNAcentral's name for it is "partial 16S ribosomal RNA". It matches the Rfam family "Bacterial small subunit ribosomal RNA", at positions 524 to 776 of the family's 1533-position model. The record is from RNAcentral.
AACGUAGGGGGCAAUCGUUGUCCGGAAUUAUUGGGCGUAAAGCGCGCGCAGGCGGUCUCUUAAGUCUGAUGUGAAAGCCCACGGCUCAACCGUGGAGGGUCAUUGGAAACUGGGAGACUUGAGUGUAGGAGAGGAAAGUGGAAUUCCACGUGUAGCGGUGAAAUGCGUAGAGAUGUGGAGGAACGCCAGUGGCGAAGGCGACUUUCUGGCCUAUAACUGACGCUGAGGCGCGAAAGCGUGGGGAGAAAACAGG